UACGAAGGGGGCUAGCGUUGCUCGGAAUCACUGGGCGUAAAGGGUGCGUAGGCGGGUCUUUAAGUCAGGGGUGAAAUCCUGGAGCUCAACUCCAGAACUGCCUUUGAUACUGAGGAUCUUGAGUUCGGGAGAGGUGAGUGGAACUGCGAGUGUAGAGGUGAAAUUCGUAGAUAUUCGCAAGAACACCAGUGGCGAAGGCGGCUCACUGGCCCGAUACUGACGCUGAGGCACGGAAAGCGUGGGGAGCAAACAGG
Molecule: ribosomal RNA, 254 nt
Filed under: uncultured bacterium
Lineage: Bacteria
Description: partial 16S ribosomal RNA
Rfam family: Bacterial small subunit ribosomal RNA
Source: RNAcentral